AGAAUCAACGCUGGCGGCGUGCCUAACACAUGCAAGUCGAACGCGAAAGCCCCGCAAGGGGUAAGUAGAGUGGCAAACGGGUGGGUAACACGUGGGUGACCUGCCUUCGAGUGGGGGAUAACGUCCCGAAAGGGACGCUAAUACCGCAUGACAUCCUGCUUUUGGAAAAGCGGAGAUCAAAGCUGGGGAUCGCAAGACCUGGCGCUUGGAGAGGGGCCCGCGCCUGAUUAGCUAGUUGGUAGGGUAACGGCCUACCAAGGCAACGAUCAGUA
This 272-nucleotide ribosomal RNA is filed under the name uncultured bacterium. RNAcentral describes it as "partial small subunit ribosomal RNA". It matches the Rfam family "Bacterial small subunit ribosomal RNA", at positions 26 to 285 of the family's 1533-position model. The record is from RNAcentral.